UUUUUUUUUUUUUUAAUCCAAAAUGUGUUUAUUGGGAAGGUUCCCACUCAUCUUGAAUCAGGGGCUUUCAGUUCCUGCUUCCUCCUUCUGUCAGCCUUGCUUUCCCACCUGUAGGCUGACAGAGGACAGUGGAGCAGCCACCACACAAGACGACCGUCUGUGCAUGGCUAAAGACCGUGGUGAUUUUAUAGCAUCCUGGGCAUUGCACAUCUGCCGAAAGGCUCUUAAAGGUCUUACUAAAACCAGCCAGGCAGUGGUGGUCUAUGCUUUUAAUCCCAGCACUCAGGAAGUGAGUUCAAGGCCAGCCUGAUCUACAAAGUGAGUCCCAGGACAACCAGGGCCUCACAGAGAAACCCUGUCUCCAAGAACAAAAAACAAAACAAACAAAAUAACAGUCAAAGAAGCCAGGUGGAACAUGCUAGUCCACGGUUCUAACUCUAGCACUCAAGACAGAGAGAGGCAGAGCACUGAGUUCUAGGCCUGGUCUACAGUGCAAGUUCAGAGUCAGUACUACACAAAAAAACCUUGUCUCAAAAUCAAAAUAAAAAGAAACCCAGCCAAGGUUCUCUACUACUGUGCUCAAACCAGAGGGAGUUCAAGAGCCCCACCGUGCUUUUGCCAGUGUGACCCAGUCACGCAGCUCAACUCUGCACCGAGGCACUUUACAAGCAAAGCCCCUAGCUGCAGGGCUGCUGGGUCAGGGAGGAGAGAAGCUGAAGGCCAGCUUCUGGGCUCUGUCAGCCAGCCCCAGCCCAGUGGCCUGUGCUCCUCUACCAGACUCCUUUCAACUUCUAAGCAUGUUAAAAUCACAAACAGGCAUCGCAACCACUCAGACGCGUUUGAGCUCUAAUCCCG
RNAcentral lists this long non-coding RNA (855 nucleotides) under Rattus norvegicus (Norway rat). RNAcentral's name for it is "long non-coding RNA NONRATT017274". The record is from RNAcentral. Lineage: Eukaryota; Metazoa; Chordata; Mammalia; Rodentia; Muridae.